RNAcentral lists this ribosomal RNA (423 nucleotides) under uncultured bacterium. RNAcentral's name for it is "bacterial SSU rRNA". It matches the Rfam family "Bacterial small subunit ribosomal RNA", at positions 207 to 622 of the family's 1533-position model. The record is from RNAcentral.
AAGACCUUGCGCUUUUGGAGCGGCCGAUGCCUGAUUAGCUUGUUGGUAAGGUAAAAGCUUACCAAGGCUUCGAUCAGUAGCUGGUCUGAGAGGACGGCCAGCCACACUGGGACUGAGACACGGCCCAGACUCCUACGGGAGGCAGCAGUGGGGAAUUUUGGACAAUGGGGGCAACCCUGAUCCAGCCAUGCCGCGUGAGUGAAGAAGGCCUUCGGGCUGUAAAGCUCUUUCAGCCGGAACGAAACGGUUACGGUUAAUACCCGUGAUUACUGACGGUACCGGAAGAAGAAGCACCGGCUAACUACGUGCCAGCAGCCGCGGUAAUACGUAGGGUGCGAGCGUUAAUCGGAAUUACUGGGCGUAAAGCGUGCGCAGGUGGUUUUGUAAGUCAGAUGUGAAAGCCCCGGGCUCAACCUGGGAACU